RNAcentral lists this ribosomal RNA (465 nucleotides) under uncultured bacterium. Its description in RNAcentral is "partial 16S ribosomal RNA". It matches the Rfam family "Bacterial small subunit ribosomal RNA", at positions 338 to 795 of the family's 1533-position model. The record is from RNAcentral.
CCUACGGGUGGCAGCAGUGGGGAAUAUUGCGCAAUGGGCGAAAGCCUGACGCAGCGACGCCGCGUGAGGGAUGAAGGUCUUCGGAUCGUAAACCUCUGUCAGCAGGGAAGAACGGUCACUGUGCUAAUCAGCAGUGAAUUGACGGUACCUGCAAAGGAAGCACCGGCUAACUCCGUGCCAGCAGCCGCGGUAAUACGGAGGGUGCGGGCGUUAAUCGGAAUUACUGGGCGUAAAGCGGUCGUAGGCGGGAUGUCAAGUCAAGGGGGAAAUCCCCGCGCUCAACGUGGGAAGUGCCUUUGAAACUGGCAAACUGGAGUGUGUGAGAGGAUAGUGGAAUUCCAGGUGUAGGAGUGAAAUCCGUAGAUAUCUGGAGGAACAUCAGUGGCGAAGGCGACUAUCUGGCACAUAACUGACGCUGAGGAGCGAAAGCGUGGGUAGCAAACAGGAUUAGAUACCCCAGUAGUC